GCCCUACGUGGGGGAGGAGGGAGACGGCGCUUGCAGCGAGCCAAGGCCCAUGUGGGCUGGCGCCGCUGGAUGGUGGCCGCGUUCGUGGGGCCAACGCGCAGGAUCUGCAAGCUCGGGGAGUUGCCCGCGUGGCUGCUGUUUCCCUCAGUGCCCUCUUGUUCUGGACUCUGCUCAGGUGCAUUCUUGGCCCCGGCAGCCAUUGGCCAAUCAGAGCUGCUGGCCCGGGGGCUGAGCCUUCCUCUGGCGCCACGUGCUAGUCCUAGCGGGCCGCGCUACCGCGACCCCAAAGGACCUCUCUGAAGCUGCAUCCUUCCUAGGGUAUUUAGCGGGAAGGCUCCCAGCGCCUCCUGGACCCUGGUAAAAGACAACAUUCUUGGAAUUUUUCAGAAGGCGUUGCAGAAGAGUGUUUGGACGUUUCCAUCAGCUCUCUGAAAUCAUCUUUGGAGACCCCAUACCAGGGACCCCCAAGUCACCUCAGAGGCUAAUUGAUUAUCUGAGCCGGUGGGAUGGCUCAGCAGAUAAAGGCAUUGCUGCCAAGUCGGAUGAGUUCAGUCAGAUUCCCGGACCCAUGUGGUGGACGGAGCGAACCUACUCUGUUCUUCUGUUGUCCUCUGGUCCCGCCCCACUAAAUAAACAGAUACUGUCUCCUUA
This is a long non-coding RNA of Apodemus sylvaticus (European woodmouse), 651 nucleotides long. RefSeq lists it as uncharacterized. Lineage: Eukaryota; Metazoa; Chordata; Mammalia; Rodentia; Muridae. The record is from RefSeq and is a predicted model, not a curated record. The transcript has 2 exons.